Molecule: long non-coding RNA, 150 nt
Organism: Mercenaria mercenaria
Lineage: Eukaryota; Metazoa; Mollusca; Bivalvia; Venerida; Veneridae
Exons: 2
Source: RefSeq, a predicted model, not a curated record
GUUACGACUAGUUUUUAUCAAUACACAUAACAUUCUUUACUGUUUUAAGUAUUAUAACGAAAAAAGUGGAAUUUAAACAACUGAAAUGUAUUCAAGAAUUCUACAAAGAUAUUAUUAGCCAGACGAAUUACAACGUGAAAAAUCCAAGAC